AGAAAGAGAAUCGAUUCCGUAAGUAGCGGCGAGCGAAAGCGGAUCAGCCCAAACCAGAGUGAUUUAUCACGCUGGGGUUGUAGGACUAUAAUGUGAGAAGCAACGGAUAGACGAAUACCUUGGAAAGGGUAACCAUAGAGGGUGACAGUCCCGUAGUUGAAAUCCCGCGCCGAUCUAAUAGUAUCCUGAGUAGCACCGGACACGUGAAACCCGGUGUGAAUCUGCGCCGACCACGGCGUAAGGCUAAAUACAAGAUGACGACCGACAGUGAACUAGUACCGCGAGGGAAAGGUGAAAAGCACCCCUGUUAGGGGAGUGAAAUAGUAACUGAAACCGAUGGCUAACAAAUCAGUAGGAGCCGCCUUGUGCGGUGACUGCCUGCCUUUUGUAUAAUGAGUCUGCGAGUUUAUGUCCGUAGCAAGCCUAAGCUGCUAAGCAGUGGAGGCGUAGCGAAAGCGAGUCUGAAUAGGGCGAUUGAGUUGCUGGCAUAAGACCCGAAGGGGAGGUGAUCUUACCAUGACCAGGUUGAAGCGUUAGUAAAAUAACGUGGAGGACCGAACCGGUGUAGCUUGAGAACUGCUCGGAUGAGUUGUGGUAAGGAGUGAAAGGCUAAUCAAACCCCCUGAUAGCUGGUUCUUUCCGAAAUAUAUUGAGGUAUAGCGUCGAGCGCUGACCUGUGGAGGUAGAGCACUGAAUAAGCUAGGGCCCCUACCGGGGUACUGAACUUUAUCAAACUCCGAAUGCCACAGGGUGAAGCUCGGCAGUCAGACUUAGGGUGCUAACGUCCUAAGUCGAGAGGGCAACAACCCAGACCAUCAGUUAAGGUCCCUAAAUGUGGCUCAGUGGUAAAGGAUGUGAUUUUACUUAGACAAUGGGGAUGUUGGCUUAGAGGCAGCCAUCAUUUAAACAGUGCGUAACAGCUGACCCAUCGAGUGAAAUUGCGCCGAAAAUGAUCGGGACUUAAGCCACAUACCGAAGCUAUGGAUUUCAGUUCCUCGGAACUGGAGUAGUAGGAAAGCGUUCCAAGUGCAGUGAAGGAGAAGGGGCAACCGACUCUGGAGCGCUUGGAAGUGAGAAUGCAGACAUGAGUAACGAUAAAGAUGGUUAAAGUCCAUCUCGCCGUAAGGAUAAGGUUUCCUGGGGAAGGCUCGUCCUCCCAGGGUUAGUCGGGAGCUAAGAUGAGGCCGUAAGGAGUAAUCGAUGCACAGAAGGUUAAUAUUCCUUCACCGGCUUGCAACUAUUCCCAGAGUGCGGAUCGACGGACCCUACAGACCUGUUUUGACAAGGCACUGCAAAGCUACGGCUGCGUGGGUGUAGGGAAAGAAGGUUCCAAGAAAAGCUCUGGAAUUACUAUGCAGGUCGCUCGUACCGCAAACCGACACAGGUAUCCGGGAUGAGUAUUCUAAGGCGCGCGAGUUAAAUCUCUCUAAGGAACUCGGCAAAUUGGCCCCGUAUCUUCGGUAUAAGGGGUGCCCCUCUAGGGGGGUCGCAGUUAAUAGCGUCAACCGACUGUUUAGCAAAAACACAGCUCUCUGCAAAGUCGCAAGACGACGUAUAGGGAGUGACACGUGACCAAUGCGAAAAGGUGAACGCCUGGGGUGCAAGCUCCGGGUCUAAGCCCUCGUGAAUGUCGGCCGUAACUAUAACGGUCCUAAGGUAGCGAAAUUCCUUGUCGGGUAAGUUCCGACCCGCACGAAUCGUGUAACGAGUUGACGACUGUCUCGGAGAGACGCUCGGUGAAAUUGUAGUAGCGGUUAAGAUGCCGCUUACCCGCAGCAGGACGGAAAGACCCUAUGCACCUUUACUGUAAGCUGUUAUUGUCGCUUGAUCUUCAUUGCGUAGAAUAGGUGGGAGACGUUGAUCCUUCGUUCCAGGACGAAGGCUAGUCGUAAUGUGAAAUACCACUCUUUGUUGGUUAGGCGUCUAACCUCUUUCCAUUAUCUGGAGGAGGGACAGUGAUAGCAGGUCAGUUUUACUGGGGCGGUAUCCUCCUAAAAAGUAACGGAGGAUUUCGAAGGUUCCCUCAGCCCGGUCGGUAAUCGGGCUAUAGAGCGCAAGAGUAUAAGGGAGCUUUACUGUGAGACCUACAAGUCGAGCAGUUGCGAAAGCAGGAUCUAGUGAUCCGGUGGUUGAAAGUGGAAUCGCCAUCGCUCAUAGGACAAAAGGUACGCUAGGGAUAACAGGCUGAUCGCGCCCAAGCGUUCACAGCGACGGCGCGGUUUGGCACCUCGAUGUCGCCCUAUAGUGAGUCGUAUUACAAUUC
Molecule: ribosomal RNA, 2263 nt
Filed under: seawater metagenome
Description: bacterial LSU rRNA
Rfam family: Bacterial large subunit ribosomal RNA
Source: RNAcentral